GAUCAUGGCUCAGGAUGAACGCUAGCUACAGGCUAACACAUGCAAGUCGAGGGGUAGCAGGGUAGCAAUACGCUGACGACCGGCGCACGGGUGAGUAACACGUAUCCAACUUCCCAUAACUCAGGGAUAGCCUUUCGAAAGAAAGAUUAAUACCUGAUAGUACUUUUUCAAGGCAUCUUGAGAAGUUAAAGAUUUAUUGGUUAUGGAUGGGGAUGCGUUCCAUUAGAUAGUUGGUGAGGUAACGGCUCACCAAGUCUUCGAUGGAUAGGGGUUCUGAGAGGAAGGUCCCCCACAUUGGUACUGAGACACGGACCAAACUCCUACGGGAGGCAGCAGUGAGGAAUAUUGGUCAAUGGGCGAGAGCCUGAACCAGCCAAGUAGCGUGAAGGAAUGAAGGUCCUAUGGAUUGUAAACUUCUUUUAUAGUAGAAUAAAGUGAUCCACGUGUGGAUUUUUGUAUGUAUACUAUGAAUAAGGAUCGGCUAACUCCGUGCCAGCCGCCGC
RNAcentral lists this ribosomal RNA (503 nucleotides) under uncultured bacterium. Its description in RNAcentral is "bacterial SSU rRNA". It matches the Rfam family "Bacterial small subunit ribosomal RNA", at positions 15 to 518 of the family's 1533-position model. The record is from RNAcentral.